GUGAGCCCCUUAACUACCCUGCCUUCCCCCUUCCCACUUCCCCCAAUUGGAGCAGCCUGUGUAAUAUCUCCAGCAGAAGAUUACUCCUGUUCCUCUCUUCUAAGAGAUGUUUUUGACCCAGCCGGCAUGCAGGGAGGUUUGGAAGCCUUCAGGGCCAUCUUUAGAAAUGUGGGAAAGCAUAAUGACAAAGCUUUUAAUUUCCAGCAAGAAAAGACCACUGGCAGAGAAAGCAGUUAACAAGAAUAACCACAUAAGAGUAGAAUACCAGCUGCUCACACUUCAAGGAAGAUAAAUCUCAUCGUAAACCAAGGCCAGAGGUGACAGGAUCACAUCAAUAACAAAUCUGGCCCCCUCAUCCAAUGUUCUAUCUGCGCAUACUUUCUCAGUUCAUCAUCUUUGGCAUUCAUGCCUCCAGAAGCACUUCUGAGAAGAAAAGCAUAGAAUAUGAUGAGGCUGCUCAUUUUAUCUGCCCUGAAGACUUUAAAAAUAAAACUUAAGGGAGCAGCUUGUUUAUCGUUCA
This 520-nucleotide long non-coding RNA is filed under the name Phascolarctos cinereus (koala). Its description in RNAcentral is "lncRNA (ENSPCIG00000024822.2)". Lineage: Eukaryota; Metazoa; Chordata; Mammalia; Diprotodontia; Phascolarctidae. The record is from RNAcentral.